UUAAUUGAAGAGUUUGAUCAUGGCUCAGAUUGAACGCUGGCGGCAGGCCUAACACAUGCAAGUCGAGCGGCAGCACAGAGGAACUUGUUCCUUGGGUGGCGAGCGGCGGACGGGUGAGUAAUGCCUGGGAAAUUGCCCGGUAGAGGGGGAUAACCAUUGGAAACGAUGGCUAAUACCGCAUAACCUCGUAAGAGCAAAGCAGGGGACCUUCGGGCCUUGCGCUACCGGAUAUGCCCAGGUGGGAUUAGCUAGUUGGUGAGGUAAGGGCUCACCAAGGCGACGAUCCCUAGCUGGUCUGAGAGGAUGAUCAGCCACACUGGAACUGAGACACGGUCCAGACUCCUACGGGAGGCAGCAGUGGGGAAUAUUGCAC
RNAcentral lists this ribosomal RNA (373 nucleotides) under Vibrio cholerae O1. RNAcentral describes it as "bacterial SSU rRNA". It matches the Rfam family "Bacterial small subunit ribosomal RNA", at positions 1 to 369 of the family's 1533-position model. The record is from RNAcentral. Lineage: Bacteria; Pseudomonadati; Pseudomonadota; Gammaproteobacteria; Vibrionales; Vibrionaceae.